Canis lupus familiaris (dog) is the source of this 1603-nucleotide long non-coding RNA. RefSeq lists it as uncharacterized. NCBI's taxonomy places the organism in Eukaryota, Metazoa, Chordata, Mammalia, Carnivora, Canidae. The transcript has 2 exons. The record is from RefSeq and is a predicted model, not a curated record.
GGGCAAAGGCCUCCAGGUCCGUCCCCGUGUGUGCGCUGUGGGCCGGGGGGCGGCGAGGCCCCGGGAGCCCUGUCCAGGAGUUCCCCACCCCCCCCCCGCCCCCCGCCAGGCUCCCUGCCCUCUGCUCGCCCCGUCUGGUGCCCCCUCUGCAAAGCUUGAGACCCCGUCAGAGGCGACAAUGGCCCCCAGCCUUAGAGCUGACGGGGAGACACCCUCGGCACCGUGGGGACCAGGGGCUCCCGGGUACUGACAGGGUGGUGGCGGGCCAGCGCGGGGACCGGGCCUCCGGCCUCUGCUCACUGGUCUGGGGUCCGCCCGCCUGGCUCUCCGACCCUAGGAGCCCUCGCCCAGGACAGGAUGGGACGGGCUGGUUGCCCCCGCAGGCUGAGCAGCCUGGCUCCUGGGGGGGCAGUAACGGGGCAGAGGGGACUCGCUAUGCGGGGUAUGCUCAGUCCGGGGGAGCGUGUACUGGGAAAAGAGACGGCAGGGAUGUGACAGGAGGUGCGAGCCCCGGAGGGGACACCGGAGAGCCAGGGGCCGGACCCCGAGUCGCCGUCACCCGCAUGGGGCCCUGGGCCACGGGGCCAGCCAGGAGUCCGCAGCAGCAGGUGGGGGGCUCCGAACCCCUGGAAGGGCCCAGGGGGGAGGACACGUCCUCAAGGCAAAGCAGCCGCAGUGCCGAGCAUCUGCCCCGGGGCUCCGGCUGGGCGGGCGGCGGGCACGGCAUCCGCGGCCACGCUCCCUGCACCUGGCGCCCGCCGGGCACCUACACGCGGCCCUCCCCACGGGGCUGCAGCCCGGGCUGGGAGCAGGGGCUCCUGGGUGCAGGGGCUCCCGGGGGGAGGGUCGCGUGCGUUUUCUGGGCACAGCGGAGCUGCCGUGAAGGUUCCAGAGGCGGGGAGGGCGAGGAGCCGGGGAGGCGGACGAGCAGGACACACGCUCUCCCGGGAGCACACGCGUCCAUUUAAGGAAGGGGAGCUGGUCACACUCACCCCAGGCCCAGAUGCCGCGGCGAGGUCCCUUCCCCGCUGGCACCAGGAGGUCGCCCCGCGGCACGGGCACCGGGAGCAGCUCGGGACAUCGGCCUGGGCAGGGCUCACCCCCUCCGGGCCCAGGGCGCCCGCGCACACAAGGAGCGGAGGCAGCAGGCCAAGGAUAAAGAUCAGAGCUUCGUGGCAAGAACCGAAGACACCUCUGCUUUGCUCUGACGGGAGCUGCGCUCCACUUCCGCUGGACCCCGGCCGUCCGAGGGGGCCACGUGAUGACUGGGCCCCACUUAGUAGAACUGGGACGUUAUUUUGAGGAUUCUAUCUUAGCAUUUUAUUCUUCCCGGCGACUGUACGCAGUUAGCUACUUGGAAACAGGCUCUUCGUACACAGGGUAAUGAGGGGCGUACAUCGGGUCGCGGGAGAAGCCCCAGGACCUAGGACAUUUUGCUUCGGGAUUCCUGACAUGGAAAUUUCCAAUUCCAAGAAGAGACGUUGCUCUGAAAAAAUCAUACUCUCCUACCCCGCUGUCACUAGCGUUUGCACGAAGUCAAAAAUUAAGAAUCCCAGAGCACAGUGUUUAAACACGUUUCACGUACUAAAAGUUACAAUGGUGA